RNAcentral lists this ribosomal RNA (253 nucleotides) under uncultured bacterium. Its description in RNAcentral is "partial 16S ribosomal RNA". It matches the Rfam family "Bacterial small subunit ribosomal RNA", at positions 524 to 776 of the family's 1533-position model. The record is from RNAcentral.
GACAGAGGUGCCGAGCGUUAGGCGGAAUCACUGGGCUUAAAGCGUGUGUAGGCGGAUCCGUAAGUACCUUGUGAAAUCCCACGGCUCAACCGUGGAACUGCUCGGUAUACUGCGGGUCUUGAGCCACUUAGGGGCAACCGGAACAAACGGUGGAGCGGUGAAAUGCGUAGAUAUCGUUUGGAACGCCGAUGGUGAAAACAGGUUGCUGGGAGUGUGCUGACGCUGAGACACGAAAGCCAGGGGAGCGAACGGG